GCCAAGGUACAAGCAGGACACAAUCAGGGCUUUUUAAUACAGAGAAAACAUGCGGGUUAAUCAUGGUGAUUAGAACCAAGUCUUGCUGCUGUCUCUGAAGCUCAGUGCGUCACACCCCAGAUACUAUGGUAUCAGUUCUCUGGGUAAUAUAACCUUUCAACUCCCUAUCAAAGGUAACAACCAACCACUGAGAAUAUCUGGAUAAAGUCAACAAACCACUUUAAACAGAUGAACUGAAACAUUAAAACUCACAACUCUUCUGCCCUAGCAAACUGCUGAGGAUUUUCUAGAUUUCCCAGUCUUAAGAGACCAAACUGUAGCUCAGUUAUCACCAGACCAGCAUUUCACUCAACACACCUUUCAGACUGAGAACAAGGUCAAGCUCAUACAUAACUAAGAACCAUGAACCAGAAUGGUGGCCCAUGCAGCACCAGAGUUGUGAUCAGAGAUGCCGUCAGGGAUGGAGCAGAGGCAAUGCCACAAGAGUCACAAGAGUCCACCUGGGCCAGUGGGCUGCGCUCAGUAUCUAAGAGGGUGUAGUGGAAAUCCAGUGUGUUCACUCUCUAAUCUGCACCUUGCUUAAGCCCACUAUGACUGUCACUGAAGUUAAUAAGAGCAGCUGUACCAGUGUUGUCCCUGUAAGCAAUAGCAGUGAUGCCUCAAUCGGGAGCCAAUCCUGAGAUGCAGGAGCACCACUGUGUUAGUUGGUUCAGGGUACUAGAACAAAAUACUUCAGAUUGGGUAAUUUAUAAAUAGAAAUUUACUGCCGGUAGUUUUGGAAGCUGGGAAGUCCAGGAUCUAGGUGCCGGCAGAUUUAGUGUCUGGUGAGGGGCUGUUCUUCAUAGAUGGCACCUUCUUGCUGUGUCCUUAAAACAUGGCAAAGAUGCAAAAAAGCUCCCUUGGGCCCCUUUUGUAGGCACUAAAGGGCUCUGCCCUCAUGGCCUAAUCCUCUUAAGCACCCCAACUCUUAAUGCUAUUGCACUGGGGAUUAGGUUUUAACUCAUGCAUUAUAGGGGGACACAAACAUUCAGACCACAGUAACCAUGCUCUGUCUACCCAUUCAUCCCUUUCCAAGCCCCUCAACUCCACUUCCCUCUCUUCCCAGGACAUUCAUGGAAAUUAACCUUACACUACAUCCUUGAUGCAUUACUUCUUUCUUUAGGAUGAAUUAGAUAGAACUCCUCUUUCCCUUCCUCCUCUCUCCCCUGAAAAUAUUUUAUGAAUAUCACAGACAAGAAAACCAAAGAAUGAAUCCCAUGGAAGAAUUCCAGAUACUAACUAGCAAGUAACUAGGAAAGAGAAUUCUGGACCCUGGGGCCUUUAUGUUCUCCCAAAUUGCACUGCAGAACUUAGUCCCCGCAAAUUCUCAGCUUUCCCUGUCUACACUCCUUUUUCAAUGUCUUGGUUACCAUUAGUAGUUCCCAAAUGAGCUUGCAGCUCUGUUAAUCCCAUCUCGGUACAUGGUAUAUCACUUACUUCUGGUCAAAAUAAUUAAAAUUAUAAAUAAGAAACCAUCUUUGAUUCCUCUUUCUCUCUCACACCACAACCAAUCUAGCAUUGACCCUAGUUCCAGAAUGUUCUGGAGAAUUUAGCAUGACAAAGAAACAAAACCACAUCGUCCUCUGCCCUGCCCAAGACUGGGAUUCCAAAAAUAUGUCCAAUUAAGAAGAAUCCCAAGGUGGUUGUACAAGCACAGGCAAGUCUAGCUUACACUGGUUAGGUAUCUUAGGAUCUCUCAUUUUUAAAUGCUUCUGAUACAUAGAAAUCUUUAUCCUCUCAGCGCCUGCUCAGGUUUGUGUUGUUGUCACGCGGAGCCAAUCUUCAGCGCCUGCUCAGCACUCCAACAAGUGCCAUGCCGAAG
RNAcentral lists this long non-coding RNA (1861 nucleotides) under Homo sapiens (human). RNAcentral's name for it is "HSALNT0037211". Lineage: Eukaryota; Metazoa; Chordata; Mammalia; Primates; Hominidae. The record is from RNAcentral.